Molecule: long non-coding RNA, 5162 nt
Organism: Rhinopithecus roxellana (golden snub-nosed monkey)
Lineage: Eukaryota; Metazoa; Chordata; Mammalia; Primates; Cercopithecidae
Exons: 2
Source: RefSeq, a predicted model, not a curated record
GAUUCCUGAACCCAGACUUUUAAAGAGUCCCUGGUUUGUUACCCUGGCGGCAUGACCAGCCUGAGCUGGCUUCCUGGGGUUUUGCACUUCGCGGUUAUGAUGUAGGAACAGGAUAAGUUAUGACUGACCCUUCUGCACUUCGCUGUUAUGAUUUAGGAAUAGGAUAACUUAUGACUGACCCUUCUUCUUCUCCUUCACUCCUGCCACUUGUUUCUCAAUUAUCUUUUAAAGUACAGUUAGGGUCUCAGAUUUCCAGAACUGGGGCUGCGACGUCCUUUGAGUGUCAUGUGAGGCAUUCCUGCUCUUGGUGGAGGUGGACUGCUCAGCCUCAAGUCCCAGUGCCGGGCCCGAGGAGGGACAGCGCGAGGUGUGCUGGCACCUGCAGUCUUCUUUCUUGUCACCACAUAAGACAUCACUAGACAAAAGACAUCAAAAUCAGAUGCUGUUGUGCCGCGUUGCCAUCUCUCUUCUCAAAUCAGUGUCCCAGUAGCCAGGCAGACUUCGGUUCAUCCUGUUUUAGCCGCCCGCUAGAAUUUAAAACGUGGCCGUGCAGCUCCUGACCCCGUUGAGAGUGCCUCGCAACCAGAAGACUGUAGCUCUUCUUUUCUCCCAAGGGAGAAACUAAUGAUUUGCAGAAGCUAGUAAUUUCGUCUAUGAAACUUGCCCCAGGCUCUCCCUUCCCUCCUGCUUUCAGUGGUACUGAGGAGCUCUAUUUAAUCUGAACAGAAAAUUCCAUUUUCUUCUGAUGAUUUUGUGACUAUACGAAAAUGGAAUUAAGGGAUUGUAGAUUUCUUCCCCACAAGCAUAUUUUAAAAUCCAGAGUAAAAAUGAAAACUUUCACAGUGUAGUUGAGAAUAAAGGUGAGAGGUUUUCUAAUAAUACUUUAAAAAAUUCUCAUACACAGAUAAAUUAGAAGAAGCAUGAAGACUUUUCCUUAAAGAAAUGUCCCUUUCCCUGCACUUUGAAUAGAUGAACAAAAUGAGUAAGCAGGGACAGAUUCAACUUUUGUGGGAGCUCAUAUACCUCGGUGUUGGGGGGAGGCUCUUUUAUAGAAAAAGAAUGCAAAGAUCUCUCACUUUUGCGGAAUGUCCACAUUCAGCACAUGUGAGCUGCUGCUCUCCUCACCUGGGCCUGGAGCGCAUGGGUGAGAGGCUGAGCCUCAGGGCUUAGGCCAGCUGCCUCUGCACAGGGGGGCUGUGUGUUGCCCUUAGCUGUGCCAGGGAGGAGUCACAGCAGAUGGCGUGCUGCCGUCCUAAUCUCUGUGGCACACAGGAGAAUGUCCUCACCCCCAAGGAUGUCCCCAUGCUAAUUCUAGAACAUGUGGCUUUGUCAUCUUAUAUGAUAAUCCAGAGACUUUGCAAAUGGGAUUGAGUGAAGGGUCUGGAGACGGUCCUGGAUUUUCCAGGGUGCUCUAAUGGUAACCACAAAGUCCAUAUAGGAGAAAGGCAGGAGGGUCAGAGUCAGAAAAGGAGCAGUGAAGACGAAGCGGGGUCAGGGUGAUUCGAGAAAGGGGCUGUGAGCCAAGGGGUGCGGGCGCCUCUAGAAGCUGGACAAGGCAAGGGAACAGGUUCUUUCUGGAAGCCUCUAGAGGGAGCAGCCCUGCCCACACCCAGAGCUGUAAGAGGAUCAACAUGUAUUGUUUUAAACCCCCACACCUGUGGGAAUUUGUUAGGCUGGGCUGGCUCCAGCCUCUCCCCUCCAGCCACUCAGCAACCUCCACAGUUAGGCCCCUCCUGGAGACCUCUCCUGGCUGCCCCAGGCCCUGUCUCCUGUACGUCCCUCCUCCGCCCCUCAUCCAGCUUGUUGUUUCUCCCUACCCCCAUCUUCCUUAUUUUUCUUCUUUUCUUUGCAUCCUCAAAACAUAAACCCUCAGGCUCAUCUCCCCAGCCUGAUGUGCAGUCUUCCUCUCUGCCUUGUGUCUCUCCUCUGACCAGUGCCUCCAUGGGGGACAGAAGGCUACACCGUGUGGCUGUGGCAGCCCCUCACUCCACAGUGUGGGCAUGUGCUGUUCAAUCACACAUGGACACUCAGAGCUCUUGCCAAGUAGACACAGACUAAGAGGGCCUAUAUGUUCAUGACAUUUUUUAGAGGUCUGAGCUGCCCAUUCAGCUUUGCAUGAAAAUGGAGAUUGCGAGUUUUGACCACUCCAUGACUGUGGCUUGUUGUGAAUGUCUGUGGUGAAGUGGCACUGCCUGUUCAGAGUAUUGUUGGAAUUUCAUUUGACCAGGUGACAAGAAAGUGUUCACAAGCCUAAGGAGGAACUUACCUGCUCCUUCCUGAGGAAAUAUGUGCCCCCACAAAAAAAAAAAAAAAAAGGGAAACCAGGCCCCAGUGUGCCACCGAGCAGCACCACCGCUGGAGGCCGCCCUCUGUCCAGGGUCGUGCACACGUGGGAGCUGGGGCCGGAAGCCCCCAUGCCUGCCCUUCUCAGAGUGGGCUGUGCUGGGCUGAUUGCUUUUCCACCUCAAUACCGACGUUGUAGACUUGACUUCCAGCGGCAGUCCUGACUCAGCUCAUCUCCCGGCCAUCUCAUUUCCUUACUCGGGAGAUCGGCGAUUCUGUGUAUUUUUCUAAUAAGCAAAAUCCCCAGAGAUGAAAGAAGCCACCACAGAAUACUCAGCUCUUUCUGGAAACAGAAGAAAGACUGCUGACCCUAUUUGCAGGGAGGGAGGGUGUUCUUCCUGAAACACCUGAGUGUGUGUUUGGACCACAUGGGUGGAGGACAGUUCAGGGAAACCAAGUUUGCAUUUAAAAGAUCUUGGUUCCAACGUCAUAGGUGUUGUGCACCCUUUCCAGGCCUUGUCUCCAGCGCCACCUCACAUGUAUACCAGCUAUAAAUACUACAGUGUAUGUAUAUGUACAGAUACACACAAAGCUAAAGUAUACAUUCACCAAGAUAAACUGUGCUUGCCAGGGCUUUAAUCUCCCCAGGAGGCUGUUAUUACUGGAGUCCGGCCCCAGCGCGCCAGCUGGGGAGAGGAAGUGAGACUCUGGUGUCGGGAGGCUGGGCGGCGUUCCUCUUUGUCUACUCUUUGCUUUUUAGAACACAUGCAUAGCUAGCAUUCACAUGUGGCCACAGAUGAAAUGAUAUGCUUGACUCGCCCCUAAAGAUGCCUUUCUUGUCAGUAUGUUGCUUUACGGAGAUACUUUACCCUCGAUCAUCGGCAGCCAUACCGGAUUCCGAUGGAACAAGAGAGCAGGAAGUGCUUUCAUCAUAUUUUCCCUGUUCAGUUUGAGCAAUCCGAAAUGGAGGUGAUCAUGACAAAGGAAGAAAGUUUCCUCUUGUGAGCUUGCAUUGUUUUAAUUCUCCUUGGCAUCUAGUCUGACUUCUACUUGUGGUCUGGACCAGUGGUUCUCAGAGGUGCACAAGCAUCAGAAACACCCAGAAGGCUUGUUCAAACCCAGAUUCCUAGGCCUCAUUCCCACAGUUUCUGGCUUAUGAGGUGUGCAUGAUGCCCAAAAUUUGUUUUUCUAGCAAGCUCUCAUGGGACAUGGAUGCUGCUGGCCUGGUUUGGGGACCGUACUUUGAGAACCACUGGUUCAGAACAUGAGGCUGCAGCACUCCCAAGGUUUUGGCAUUGUUUUGUAUUAAGGAAUAGCUUAUGAGAAAUAGGUUUCUAGCUUUUUAAUUUUGUUACCAGUCUAGACUCUAUGAUUGAGAGGGUGACCAGCUGUCCCAGUUUGCCCUGGGGCACAGGACUAUUCAUGCUGAAACUGAGAGAGUCCUGGGCAAACUGGGAUGAAUUGGCCACCUUCACUAUUGAUCCAACUUCCCAAAUGCUUUGUCUACAUUGCUGGUACCUGGCUCGGAGGAGGCCCUAUUGGGAAGGCUGUAAGUGUGUUGCCGCAGGGUUCCACAGGACACUUAGAGUUUGAGGAACAUCUGCCAUCAAAGCACUGCAACAAUAUUUAGGGAUGUUAAUUGUUCCUCAGGAGGCAUACGUAGGAAUCACAUCCACCUUAAACAUGCGCACUUGUGGCAUUUGGGCUCACACAGCCAAACAGCUGCCACCGUCUGAAGUAACACGUGGGCUGUGGGGUUCCUGCAGUGUGACAGACACACUUCUCUGCAUCAUCCAUGUACCAGCCUGUUUUCUUCUCACUAUAGCCCAAUCAGCUAAUUAUCAUCAUUUCCAUCUUUCACAAACAAGUACGUAAAGAUGUCAUUGUUUACCCCAGGGUCACAGAUGGCAAAAGCGGCAGAACCACAGGCCAAACACUUGUUGUUUUACCGUGUGACUCCGAAGAGCAUUAAACCGGAGGCUCUAUCCAUGAGUUUUUCCAGCCACUCACGUCUCUGCCUCUAUUGGAGAUGAAGCCUCUCAGAGUGGAAGGCAGUGGACCUAGCUUGGAUCGGGACGCCUGGACUUUCCUCCUGCUUCUUCCAGAUCCUGGCUCUAUGACUUGUAUCAGGUCACCUUUUAACCCCUCUGAGCCUCACUUUCCCCAUAUGUGACAUGGACAUAAUGCCUGCCUUACCUUCUGCCUUAGCUUAUCUUGAGGAGAAAUAGAAAUGGUGUUUAUGAAGCUGUCAGUAACCUGCGAAAGCACGCACUUGUCCCUAUGAGCAUACAUGUGUUAAACCUUCUGUUAUUCCAAAAGAAAGGUUUGGCACAUCAACUUCAGGAAUAUUUACUUAAGUGGAGGAGAAACAAAGCAACUAAAGUAGCCAAAAUUAGCAGUGAACAGAAGAAAAUUCUCAGGAGGAAAAUGGUUCUUCAUCUGGUUUUACAAGGAUUAGCAACACGUGUGUCCUGUUCCAGGGCAGCAAAUCACGGCGCAGGCCCUAGCCAUUUUGCUCAGGGAGGACUGCGCUCUUUGGGAAACGUUCUGUUGCAAGUCACAGAUUAUAGGUGUGUGGUAGAAGGCCAGGCCUGAGCUGUCACUUCCUCAGUGUCAGAGGGUCUCAUUACAUUUCAUUACAGUGAUUUUCUUUUUGCUGAAACAUUAGGAACCCUGGAGCACUCAGCCAAGAUCAUGGAACAGAAUCACCCUCUCCUGCAUGUUUUUGUUUCUGCCUCCUGCUUUUCUGUUCUUUUUCCAUUUUCUCUGUGUGUGUGUUGACUUGGCUGCCUAUAGCUUCAUCGUCAAAGCUGGUCCAUGUGGGUUCAACCUCGUGCUCUCACUCCCCUCCACCAUCGUUUUUGUCAUCAAAGCUAAAA